Molecule: small nuclear RNA, 157 nt
Organism: Microtus ochrogaster (prairie vole)
Lineage: Eukaryota; Metazoa; Chordata; Mammalia; Rodentia; Cricetidae
Gene: U1
Rfam family: U1 spliceosomal RNA
About the family: U1 is a small nuclear RNA (snRNA) component of the spliceosome (involved in pre-mRNA splicing).
Source: Ensembl
AUACUCACCUGGUGGGGAAAGCACUGUUAUCCCGAAGGGGAUUUUCCUGGAGACUCAGUGCCAUUGGCCUUUGCUGAUACCUGAGACUUCCACAAAAGCGGGGAAGUCGGCUGCAUAACUCGUAGUAUAUUUGGAGCUGCGUUCAGGCUUUCUUCUU